RNAcentral lists this ribosomal RNA (248 nucleotides) under uncultured bacterium. RNAcentral's name for it is "partial 16S ribosomal RNA". It matches the Rfam family "Bacterial small subunit ribosomal RNA", at positions 1244 to 1500 of the family's 1533-position model. The record is from RNAcentral.
GGGCAGCUACACAGCGAUGUGAUGCUAAUCUCCAAACCAUGUCUCAGUUCGGAUCGGAGUCUGCAACUCGACUCCGUGAAGCUGGAUUCGCUAGUAAUCGCGCAUCAGCCAUGGCGCGGUGAAUACGUUCCCGGGCCUUGUACACACCGCCCGUCAAGCCAUGGGAGCCGGGGGUACCUGAAGUCCGUAACCGCGAGGAUCGGCCUAGGGUAAAACUGGUGACUGGGGCUAAGUCGUAACAAGGUAUC